GGAUGCGAUCAUACCAGCACUAAAGCACCGGAUCCCAUCAGAACUCCGAAGUUGAGCGUGCUUGGGCGAGAGUAGUACUAGGAUGGGUGACCUCCUGGGAAGUCCUCGUGUUGCAUUCC
Molecule: ribosomal RNA, 119 nt
Filed under: Triticum aestivum (bread wheat)
Lineage: Eukaryota; Viridiplantae; Streptophyta; Magnoliopsida; Poales; Poaceae
Also listed under: 1 other name
Source: RNAcentral